CAAAUAGGGUUGGCUGAUACU
Molecule: microRNA, 21 nt
Filed under: Fragaria vesca subsp. vesca
Lineage: Eukaryota; Viridiplantae; Streptophyta; Magnoliopsida; Rosales; Rosaceae
Description: fve-miR11299
Source: miRBase by way of RNAcentral